RNAcentral lists this ribosomal RNA (115 nucleotides) under Eleutherodactylus cubanus (Cuban robber frog). RNAcentral describes it as "partial 16S ribosomal RNA". Lineage: Eukaryota; Metazoa; Chordata; Amphibia; Anura; Eleutherodactylidae. The record is from RNAcentral.
CUGAAAGCCUAGCCUAACAAUUAACUCACAAUAUAAAAUCACAACCCAAAAUAUUUUAACAAUUUAGUAUAGAAGAUUAAAAAAUUUAUUAGAGCUAUAAAUAUGUACCGCAAGG